UAUCGGAACGUACCCAGAAGUGGGGGAUAACGUAGCGAAAGUUACGCUAAUACCGCAUACGAUCUACGGAUGAAAGCAGGGGAUCUUCGGACCUUGUGCUUUUGGAGCGGCCGAUAUCUGAUUAGCUAGUUGGUGAGGUAAAGGCUCACCAAGGCGACGAUCAGUAGCUGGUCUGAGAGGACGACCAGCCACACUGGAACUGAGACACGGUCCAGACUCCUACGGGAGGCAGCAGUGGGGAAUUUUGGACAAUGGGGGCAACUCUGAUCCAGCAAUGCCGCGUGAGUGAAGAAGGCCUUCGGGUUGUAAAGCUCUUUUGUCAGGGAAGAAACGGCUGUGGCUAAUAUCCACGGCUAAUGACGGUACCUGAAGAAUAAGCACCGGCUAACUACGUGCCAGCAGCCGCGGUAAUACGUAGGGUGCAAGCGUUAAUCGGAAUUACUGGGCGUAAAGCGUGCGCAGGCGGUUUUGUAAGUCUGUUGUGAAAUCCCCGGGCUUAACCUGGGAAUUGCAAUGGAGACUGCAAGGCUGGAGUCUGGCAGAGGGGGGUAGAAUUCCACGUGUAGCAGUGAAAUGCGUAGAGAUGUGGAGGAACACCGAUGGCGAAGGCAGCCCCCUGGGUCAAGACUGACGCUCAUGCACGAAAGCGUGGGGAGCAAACAGGAUUAGAUACCCUGGUAGUCCACGCCCUAAACGAUGUCUACUAGUUGUCGGGUCUUAAUUGACUUGGUAACGCAGCUAACGCGUGAAGUAGACCGCCUGGGGAGUACGGUCGCAAGAUUAAAACUCA
RNAcentral lists this ribosomal RNA (790 nucleotides) under uncultured Massilia sp. RNAcentral describes it as "bacterial SSU rRNA". It matches the Rfam family "Bacterial small subunit ribosomal RNA", at positions 116 to 903 of the family's 1533-position model. The record is from RNAcentral. Lineage: Bacteria; Pseudomonadati; Pseudomonadota; Betaproteobacteria; Burkholderiales; Oxalobacteraceae.